This is a long non-coding RNA of Octopus bimaculoides (California two-spot octopus), 1862 nucleotides long. NCBI's taxonomy places the organism in Eukaryota, Metazoa, Mollusca, Cephalopoda, Octopoda, Octopodidae. The record is from RefSeq and is a predicted model, not a curated record.
UAUAUUUACACCAAUUACACUGUAAAACAUAUUUAAUUUUUCUACUACGGUAUUCACACCUGCAAUAGAAAUGCAUCGGUUGCAUUCCCAGACGAAAUAUUGAAACCUGUCUUUGACAUUUCCGGAGCGUAUUAACCUUAUUUGGGGCCUGACUUAUUAAGGCCCACGCUGUAUUAUUCAGGCACUGUAUAUCCAGGACUAUCGUAUCAAAUGCGUGCUACAGCUUUUUAAAAUUCUCAGAGAUUGCAGGGUGUUUUUUUGGGGUCAAAUUUAGUUGUUAUUCCUAUUAGGUCCAAUGACAAGAUGAAACUUCUGUCGUAGAACCGCAGAAAUAUACAGCUGUAGAGAAGAAGAACAAAAAUCUCAAGAUGGAAAACGAAGAAAGAGAAACAAACACAUCAUAAAAAAAAGACUUGAGCAGCAUCAACAAUAAGAAGAACAUCAAAACAUCAUCACCAACAUCAUAAUCAUUAUCAUCAUCAACAGUAUGAAGGCAUAUAUAAAGCAAUUUAGUGCAAAGAUCAACCAGAAAGUUGACACAAGCUCAAGUGAUGUGAAAUGUAUAUAAACAAACGACAAUAUUACUCAUAGAAUGCAUUUGACUGCGGCCAUGCUGGAACACCACCUUCAUUCGAACAAAUCGAAACCAGGACUUAUUCUUUCAUGUACGGGAGUUAACAUGGACAUGCUCUUGUUUUGCUUGGUGCCAUUAACAGAAGUACAACCUCUCCGUGUACUGUUGAAUUGACAAAGAAGGAAUUUUUAGUGACUUUACAAAACUCUAUAUUUGAUUAACAGAAGUGUAUAUUUGUUAGUGUAAAAAGAUGAAUUUAUCAAAUUACAAAAUAAUUUUGACACAUCGAUCUUUACUCUUUCGCAUAUUCCAUUUAUUUUCUCUAUUUCCCUCAUUCUUGGUAUUCUUCAUCUCCUUUUUCAUUCAACCUCUCUCUGCCUGCGAUAAACAGUCAACGAAAUUUUCUGUAACUUUGUCUUACAAUAUUAAAGCAAAAAACUUCGAGGAAACUUCCUUGUUUGUUAUUUAUUUGAUCUUGAAAGCAGUACUGCUGUCCUCAAAAACUGCUAAGUUCUAUGUGGUUAGCGUUCCUAGAGAUAUUCUGAAAUUAGUGAUAUACAUAGUACAAACAGUAGAGUCAGAUAAGUUCAACGUGCUUCACCGAGGAGAUCGAAUAGGAGCGAAACAUGUUCAUAACUGCCACCUGUUGAUUUUCAAGGCAUGUACUGCACUAAUCUACAUCUUUAUUUUCCAAAAUCUCAAUGAGCUGAUAUUACAAGAGUUAGUUCCUUUUAUUUUGUGUCUUAGAUCUUAAACGCCCGUAUUGGGAAAUUUAUUUCUCCUAUUUUUUUAGAAAUCAGUUAAUAGAAGUUUUUGAACAAUGUUUAUUACAGACGUGUGUCUUCUACGGUAUAUGCAUUUCAUUUAAUAUGAAUUAAACUCACCUGAGAAUAUUUUCCCUCAAUUCUAAUGCUAUGCAGUGAGGUGGAAGAGAAAUAAAUUCUUGAAAGUCAUUUGAAUUUUCAUUUGCUCCUCUUACUCAUCCACACUUUCGACGAAAGAUUUUAUCCGAAACGUUACUAUUCUCUGCUUCCUCAAAAUAAGUAUGGUGAUAUGUCGUCUCGUUCCGUCCUUGCUACCUGUUUACUCAUUAACUAUUCCUAGCAAUAUGCUUUCAAGUCCAUGUUUCUAUGCCUUCCGUCAUAUCUUUCUCCUUUUUAUAACUUUCGUUAUUCCACACACUCUUCCUUAUUUAUCUAUAAAUUUUAACGUAUUAUUUUACGUGGUAGCAACAGUUGUUGUUGUGCUAGUGGUGGCGGCUGUGGUAGUAGUAGUAGUAGAAGUAGUA